This 200-nucleotide ribosomal RNA is filed under the name uncultured eukaryote. RNAcentral's name for it is "partial 18S ribosomal RNA". It matches the Rfam family "Eukaryotic small subunit ribosomal RNA", at positions 588 to 776 of the family's 1831-position model. The record is from RNAcentral.
GCUCCAAUAGCGUAUAUUAAAGUUGUUGUGGUUAAAAAGCUCGUAGUUGGAUCUCAGGGUCGUUCGCGUCGGUCCUUGCUUCAAUGGCUCGGGUACUGCGCGGUGUCGUCCCCCUUGCCAGACCUCUCAAAAAGGUUGCUCUUGACUGAGUGGCCUGCUCGAGUGGCUGGAGAGUUUACUUUGAAAAAAUUAGAGUGUUC